UAUUGAACGCUGGCGGCAGGCCUAACACAUGCAAGUCGAACGGCAGCACAGAAGAGCUUGCUCUUUGGGUGGCGAGUGGCGGACGGGUGAGUAAUGUCUGGGAAACUGCCCGAUGGAGGGGGAUAACUACUGGAAACGGUAGCUAAUACCGCAUAACGUCGCAAGACCAAAGUGGGGGACCUUCGGGCCUCACACCAUCGGAUGUGCCCAGAUGGGAUUAGCUAGUAGGUGGGGUAAUGGCUCACCUAGGCGACGAUCCCUAGCUGGUCUGAGAGGAUGACCAGCCACACUGGAACUGAGACACGGUCCAGACUCCUACGGGAGGCAGCAGUGGGGAAUAUUGCACAAUGGGCGCAAGCCUGAUGCAGCCAUGCCGCGUGUAUGAAGAAGGCCUUCGGGUUGUAAAGUACUUUCAGCGGGGAGGAAGGCGGUGAGGUUAAUAACCUCGCCGAUUGACGUUACCCGCAGAAGAAGCACCGGCUAACUCCGUGCCAGCAGCCGCGGUAAUACGGAGGGUGCAAGCGUUAAUCGGAAUUACUGGGCGUAAAGCGCACGCAGGCGGUCUGUUAAGUCAGAUGUGAAAUCCCCGGGCUUAACCUGGGAACUGCAUUUGAAACUGGCAGGCUUGAGUCUCGUAGAGGGGGGUAGAAUUCCAGGUGUAGCGGUGAAAUGCGUAGAGAUCUGGAGGAAUACCGGUGGCGAAGGCGGCCCCCUGGACGAAGACUGACGCUCAGGUGCGAAAGCGUGGGGAGCAAACGAGGAUUAGAUACCCUGGUAGUCCACGCCGUAAACGAUGUCGACUUGGGAGGUUGUGCCCUUGAGGCGUGGCUUCCGGAGCUAACGCGUUAAGUCGACCGCCUGGGGAGUACGGCCGCAAGGUUAAAACUCAAAUGAAUUGACGGGGGCCCGCACAAGCGGUGGAGCAUGUGGUUUAAUUCGAUGCAACGCGAAGAACCUUACCUGGCCUUGACAUCCAGAGAACUUAGCAGAGAUGCUUUGGUGCCUUCGGGAACUCUGAGACAGGUGCUGCAUGGCUGUCGUCAGCUCGUGUUGUGAAAUGUUGGGUUAAGUCCCGCAACGAGCGCAACCCUUAUCCUUUGUUGCCAGCGGUUCGGCCGGGAACUCAAAGGAGACUGCCGGUGAUAAACCGGAGGAAGGUGGGGAUGACGUCAAGUCAUCAUGGCCCUUACGGCCAGGGCUACACACGUGCUACAAUGGCGCAUACAAAGAGAAGCGACCUCGCGAGAGCAAGCGGACCUCAUAAAGUGCGUCGUAGUCCGGAUUGGAGUCUGCAACUCGACUCCAUGAAGUCGGAAUCGCUAGUAAUCGUAGAUCAGAAUGCUACGGUGAAUACGUUCCCGGGCCUUGUACACACCGCCCGUCACACCAUGGGAGUGGGUUGCAAAAGAAGUAGGUAGCUUAACCUUCGGGAGGGCGCUUACCACUUUGUGAUUCAUGACUGGGGUGAAGUCGUAACAAGGUAACCGUAGGGGAA
This 1495-nucleotide ribosomal RNA is filed under the name Pantoea agglomerans. RNAcentral's name for it is "bacterial SSU rRNA". It matches the Rfam family "Bacterial small subunit ribosomal RNA". Lineage: Bacteria; Pseudomonadati; Pseudomonadota; Gammaproteobacteria; Enterobacterales; Erwiniaceae. The record is from RNAcentral.